GGGACGUUAGCUCAGUUGGUAGAGCAGGAGACUUUUAAUCUCAAGGUCUAGGGUUCGAUUCCCUAACGUCCCA
This 73-nucleotide transfer RNA is filed under the name Atopobium deltae. It matches the Rfam family "tRNA". Rfam says of the family: Transfer RNA (tRNA) molecules are approximately 80 nucleotides in length. Their secondary structure includes four short double-helical elements and three loops (D, anti-codon, and T loops). The record is from Rfam by way of RNAcentral. Lineage: Bacteria; Bacillati; Actinomycetota; Coriobacteriia; Coriobacteriales; Atopobiaceae.